This 258-nucleotide long non-coding RNA is filed under the name Populus trichocarpa (black cottonwood). RNAcentral describes it as "long non-coding RNA (PTRI_LNC002360)". Lineage: Eukaryota; Viridiplantae; Streptophyta; Magnoliopsida; Malpighiales; Salicaceae. The record is from RNAcentral.
AGGUUGGAUCAUGGAGUGUUGCUGGUGGGAUAUGGUUCAGCUGCCUAUGCUCCCGUCAGGAUGAAGGAGAAGCCAUACUGGAUUAUCAAGAACUCAUGGGGAGAAAGCUGGGGCGAGAAUGGAUUCUACAAAAUCUGCAGGGGUCGCAAUAUUUGCGGAGUCGACUCCAUGGUCUCAACUGUUGCUGCCGUGCAGACCAACUCCCUCUAGGGAUAUCCUUACGAUGCUGCUACCUUGUUGCUUUGUAAAUAAGGAUUU